Molecule: transfer RNA, 76 nt
Filed under: Marisediminicola antarctica
Lineage: Bacteria; Bacillati; Actinomycetota; Actinomycetes; Micrococcales; Microbacteriaceae
Also listed under: 5 other names
Description: tRNA-Val
Rfam family: tRNA
About the family: Transfer RNA (tRNA) molecules are approximately 80 nucleotides in length. Their secondary structure includes four short double-helical elements and three loops (D, anti-codon, and T loops).
Source: RNAcentral
GGGCCUUUAGCUCAGUUGGUAGAGCGCCACGUUUACACCGUGGAUGUCAUCGGUUCGAGCCCGGUAGGGCCCACCU